GAUGGAGAACGCAGCGAAAUGCGAUAAGUAGUGUGAAUUGCAGAAUUCAGUGAAUCAUCGAAUCUUUGAACGCACAUUGCGCCCCUUGGUAUCCCGAGGGGCAUGCCUGUUCGAGCGUCAUUUCACCACUCAAGCCUGGCUUGGUGUUGGGCGACGUCCCCUUUGGGGACGCGCCUCGAAACGCUCGGCGGCGUGGCACCGGCUUUAAGCGUAGCAGAAUCUUUCGCUUUGGAAGUCGGGGCCCCGUCUGCCGGAAGACCUACUCGCAAGGUUGACCUCGGAUCAGGCAGGGAUACCCGCUGAACUUAAGCAUAUCAAUAAGCGGAGGA
Molecule: unclassified non-coding RNA, 329 nt
Filed under: soil metagenome
Description: partial contains 5.8S ribosomal RNA, internal transcribed spacer 2, and large subunit ribosomal RNA
Rfam family: 5.8S ribosomal RNA (bases 1-120)
Source: RNAcentral